AUGCUCGCGCAGCUAGCAGCAGAUGGUGUGAGGACGAUGCUGGGCGUCUCCCGCGAGAUCGACAAGAUGGCCGACAAGCUCCGGGACCUCAAAAACUUCUUGGCUGAUGCGGAUAGGAGGAACAUCACCGAUGAGACCGUUCAAGAGUGGGUGGGACAGCUCAAGCGUGCCAUGUAUGAAGCUACCGACAUCCUCGACCUCUGUCAGCUCAAGGCCAUGGAGCGUGGAUCAUGUACUACUCUAGACGCAGGGUGUUUCAACCCCUUGCUCUUCUGCAUGCGGAAUCCCUCCCAUGCUCAUGAGAUCGGCACCCGCAUCAAAAAGCUCAACAAGAGGCUUGACUACAUCAAGGAGCGAAGUGCUGCUUUCAACUUCGUCAAUCUCGGAUCCUACAAGGAUCAUAACAACAAUGUCCAUGGCUUUCGCCAUGGUAAUCCUAGCCAAGAGACGGUAGGGGACUUUGACCGGUCGGCUAUCGUUGGAGACAAGAUUGAAGAAGACACAAGAGCACUGGCGGCCCAAAUCAUGCAGACGGGAAAGGAUGUCAACAAUGGCAUAAUGGUGGUCGCUAUCGUAGGUGUUGGUGGGAUCGGCAAGACCACCCUCGCCUAG
RNAcentral lists this ribosomal RNA (612 nucleotides) under Triticum aestivum (bread wheat). Its description in RNAcentral is "partial small subunit ribosomal RNA". Lineage: Eukaryota; Viridiplantae; Streptophyta; Magnoliopsida; Poales; Poaceae. The record is from RNAcentral.